GUCCAGACUCCUACGGGAGGCAGCAGUGGGGGAUAUUGCACAAUGGGGGGAACCCUGAUGCAGCGACGCCGCGUGGGUGAAGGAGCGUUUCGGCGCGUAAAGCCCUAUCGGCAGGGAAGAAGGAGGAAGGGACCUGACUAAGAAGCCCCGGCUAACUACGUGCCAGCAGCCGCGGGAAUACGUAGGGGGCAAGCGUUAUCCGGAUUUACUGGGUGUAAAGGGGGCGCAGACGGCAGCGCAAGCCAGGAGUGAAAGCCCGGGGCCCAACCCCGGGACUGCUCUUGGAACUGCGCGGCUGGAGUGCAGGAGGGGCAGGCGGAAUUCCUGGUGUAGCGGUGAAAUGCGUAGAUAUCAGGAGGAGCACCGGUGGCGAAGGCGGCCUGCUGGACUGCGACUGACGUUGAGGCCCGAAAGCGUGGGGAGCAAACGGGAUUAGAUACCCUCGUAAA
This 449-nucleotide ribosomal RNA is filed under the name uncultured bacterium. RNAcentral describes it as "partial 16S ribosomal RNA". It matches the Rfam family "Bacterial small subunit ribosomal RNA", at positions 329 to 794 of the family's 1533-position model. The record is from RNAcentral.